AGUUUUGAGAUGUGCCUGACCUUCGCUGCCCCAGGAAGCUGCGCUUUCAGAGCUGCCAUCCAGGCACAGUCGGAGGAUUUGCCACUCACGCUGCAAUGCAACAGGAGCGGAGCCCAGAGCUGAGCACAGUCUGCAUCAACUUGAUCCAAGCCACGUCCAGUGCCUCAGAUUCGGUGCGCGCUGCGACAGCUGCCAGCGCCGGGAGGAUGUUGUUGAAAGGCAUAAGGAGCGUGAUUACAAAGGGGCUCAGCUGGGGAGGGCAUGUGAGGCACGGCCGACACAUGCUGCCUGGAAAGGGAGGAUGCAGCUGGGAAGCCUCGAGAAGAGGGGAUGUGACAGUGGCUAGUAUCAGCAAGAGCUGAGACCAUGAAGGAAGGUUUGAGCAUAACCCAUGAAGUCUUCAGUGUGCCCACUGUGCUGAGCGUGCUGGAGUGUGAAUUUGUGUGCUGAGGGCAGGGAGAGGUGGCUCGACCCAGAAGGAAGGAAACAGAUGGUACCUGCAAAAGUUGUUGUGAUCUUCCUAAAUAGCUGCCUUGUAAUACAGCUAAUGCUGGCACAGCUCCCAUCUACAGUACUUUCAUGCUGGCGGCUGACCAAGCCACUUCAGCCUUGUUGUCCAUAGAUGGUUCUUUGAUGAUGUCCAAACGCAAGUCAGUUUUUGGCUGUCCAGGUAAGUCUUUUCCUGGGCAGACACAGAGCACAGACAGACCUGGGGGAGUUUUGAGCAGAUUUGGGAGCGUUCACUCUGUUCUCCCUGUACUCUCUGUGUUGCUUGAACAGCUCUUUCCCUUGGCAAUGUCUUUAGACCCCUUGAAAUCUCCGGUUGGGACUGAGCAUAGAGGUCCAAAAGGGCAAUCAUGACCUGACUGUCUGAAGCGGGCGUGGGCACGGCCUAACCUCGCAAACUCUAUCCACAACUAUCAAAAGGGGCACAGCUGAGGAAGUUUAACUCCAAAGUUCCAAGAAACAUAUAGAUAAUAUAUUAGGGAUUUACAUGUAACAUAUACUAUAUAAAACCCAUCUUGCCAUCAGAUCUCCAAUUUUUCCUGCCUUCCACAAAUGACUGUAGCUCCGUAUACAGUUCCCUAUCUUUCCCACGAGUGACCGAAC
Molecule: long non-coding RNA, 1110 nt
Organism: Grus americana (Whooping crane)
Lineage: Eukaryota; Metazoa; Chordata; Aves; Gruiformes; Gruidae
Exons: 3
Source: RefSeq, a predicted model, not a curated record